RNAcentral lists this long non-coding RNA (33663 nucleotides) under Setaria italica (foxtail millet). RNAcentral describes it as "long non-coding RNA (SITA_LNC004628)". Lineage: Eukaryota; Viridiplantae; Streptophyta; Magnoliopsida; Poales; Poaceae. The record is from RNAcentral.
UAAUAGGUUGACAAAAAAAGAUAGCAUUGCCUGAUUGCUUGGCAAAUAAAAAAAAUUACAUCGGCUGAUUGGUUCCAGCAAAAUAGUAUCGGCUGCUUGUUGAUCAGAAAAAGCCGAUACUGUUACAGCUCCCGCAACUGUGCUUUGCUGUCAUCGGCUGGGUCUCCAUCUGCAAAUAUUUGUCCCGGCUAGAAAGUAUCGUACGUGCAUUGGGAUUCGGCAGUACAAAUCACGUACACGCGUAUGGUCUGCUCAGAAGCUGUCUGUUCGACGAAGUUCCAGGCCAAUGGUGGAGACUUGAUGACCAUGGUGACCUGCAUUAAUCAACAUGAAGUAUGUAUCGGCUGUUCGGUGAUUGGUAGCAAAUCAGCUUUCUCAUAGCCGGUGACAUAUGGGGCAAGAAAUAUCAGGCUUAAAAAAGGACAGUACGACGGUUCUAUUAUUGUGCAGUCGAUGGAACAUAGAAGAUGCAUCUGAAUGAGCAAAAGGAAGGGAGCCGAUAGAAGGGAAUUUAAGUUGCAUGAGAUCCAAUUAAAUUAAGAUGACGAGAGGUGUUGACAUCGAAUCAUCGGACUUCUAUGAAGCCUUCUGUUGGCGCUAGAAAUCGGUCAACCGAAUCCCCAGCAUCUGACACACGACCCGGGAGAAUCUGCUUAGCUCCUGUUCGGGUGAUCGCCCUGGUGCGGAUUCGCGCGGCGUGCCAGCCAAUCUGACCUGUUGAUUGGCAAGGAAAUAGUCAUGUUAAUUCCCAGGGUUUGCGAUCGGCUAAGGUUCCGAUCUCAAGAAAGCUUAUCAGCGAAUCGGCUGAUUUGCAGUAAUAAAGGAAUCGGCUAUGAUCCAACCGAUUACUGUAGCACCGUAAACGAAAACUACGGGAGUAGUUAACACAACACUACUAUAACAACACCAGGAAUAGAUCUGAUCGGCUAUGUAUGAAAUAGGUAGAUUAAACAGCGAAGUAUAAAGAAAGCCGAUGUUGCCGAUUCCUAGCUGGAUAACUGAUGAUAAAACUAGAAUACAGGUAAAACCUAUAAUUCUAGUAAAUAUCGAUAACUGGUGAAUAAAUUUAAACGAAACGACAGCGAUGCGCCCGAAGUUAAAUCCUAGAAUUUAAUCGAUAAACGAAACUUACAAGAUCGGCUGGAGGUCAAGUUGAUGCAGCCCCGCCAACCCGUAUGAACUCGUGAAAAAGAAGAAAAGUAUUGGCGAAGUCGCCUGCUUGAAAGUAAGUACGAAGAAAUAGUAGUUUGUUGUAUUGAGUAGUUGAUUGAUUACAGAUCUACAAAGAUAGCUAUUUAUAGCCCCGUACAGAUGACUUCUUAUCUGACUAGAACUCUAUCCCUAAUUCAAAUAGAAAACGAAUAUUUACGAGUACGAUUCGUACUAGGUUGGUUAUUAUACGCUUCACGGGCUGAUCUCCCCUUCAUCCUUCUAUUCCUUUCCAAGCCCAUACCAGCCCAAUUAUUCCAACCUCCCAAUCGGCCGAUUCCUCUUCGGCAAAGGGUAACCAAUGGGGAACCUGGCAUGUCCGAUCCGAACCCCAAGGGUUAAGCGAAGCAGAAGUCAUCGGCCGAUCCCGUACUGUAGCAUCGGCCGAUCUUGGACUGUAGCGCCAACCAACCGAUCUCGAACUGUAGCGCCAUUCGGCCGAUCUCCACCUGUACUUUCCCAUUUCCUCUUCUCCUGGCGCCGAUUUCACUUGUGACGAAAUCUGGCGUCAACACAUGCCCCCCAGUUUCAGAGUAAAACAUAGUCUUUUACUUCGAAAUUCUUUUCAACUUCCCCUCCAAAACAGCCGCAAUGAAAAUAUCCUUCCGUUUCGCGGUCUUCCAGCUGAUGAUUGCAACCUUUUCGAAACGGGCGCCCACGACAACCACUACUCCCGAAAAAACUCGAAACGCCGGCGCGGUAAAAAUUCCAUUUUUACCCUUCAUCAGGCGCCCUUUAAAUAGAAAUUCACCCCGCACCUCCCUUUCAAGCUCACGUCCUUCUUCCUCAGCGCGCGCGCCUUCUUCUUCCCUUAGCACUUUCCCUUAGCUCCGAAGCUUCCUAGCGCCAUCUUCCUGUUGCUUCUCCUCCUCCCCUCCAAUGGCUGCACCUUCAGGCAACUCUCCCGCGCGCAAUGCUCCAGAAAUGGCGCCCCCGGCGGAAGUGGCGACAGCGGUUGCUCCGUCGUCAGAAGAAGGAUCUUCAUCGGAGAUCCCAAUGGCGAUCCCCAUAGCGGCCUCAUCCUCUACAGCUGCACCGGCGGUCACGCCGACUACAAGGAAUUUCAUCCCAGAGGUUAUUACCGAAUCCUUCCUCUAUCGGCAAUGCAUUUACUUUAGAUCUAUUUCUUACUUUUGCACCCCCCUUUCCUUUUUAGGCGGCUAGACAUCGCAUCACCAUCCAUCUUACGGGAAAUCCCGGCCUUAUCUGUCUCGGACCCAUGGGGAACCCAGAUCCAAUCGAGCUCAUCAAUUUAGAAACCCACAGAAUCCCCUUCAAAUAAUCCACCAUGGACCUGGAUCACUGGUUGGGCACCUUUAGGUCUUUGGCCGAAUGAAACCCCUGGUUGGAGGGAAUGGUACCAACGGAUAGCCGAACCGAAGAGGGUCCAAUGGGACGAGCUCAAAAUCGGCCAAUGCAUCAACCUGUCUUUGUCCCAGAUGGAGCGAAAUGAACCAUUGGUGAUAGCAGCCUCUUACUUUUGGUCUGAUGCCCUCAAUGCAUUCUUGUUUGGACAUGGACCUAUGACCCCCACACUGGCCAAUGUGGUUCUGCUGACUGGCCUUGACAUCUCCUCCCCGGACACACCUUUCCGCCUCUUAGGCGCAACGUCGCAUCGGCUGGACACGAGAGGAAUCGGCGGGUGGAAAGGAUUUAUCAGAUGCAACAAAAGGGCCGGGUCUGUUGAGAACAUGGAGCACACGGCCUUCUUAAUGAUGUGGUUGAAAAAACAUUUCUUUUGCGGAAGAGCAGCCGGCCCAUCAACCAACACCUAGGCUUUAGCCGAAGCACUAUCGGCAGGAACGCCUGUUCCCCUUGGAAAACACUUGCUAGGGGCGACCUACCACAUGCUCCACUAAAUCGGCACCAAACUUUCCAAGGGGCAGCCGAUUGGAAAUCCAGGCGGACCCUGGUGGUUCAUCAAUUUGUGGCUGAACCUUCAUAUGAGCAAGAUCUCUCAGCAGAGGGUGGAACACAUGAUGUUCCCCAACAUUGAAUCGGCAGAAGAUCCUACUGCUCGUCACCGAUGCACAUCUUUUGGUGAAGUGGCGUCAGCCUUCCCGGGUUGCUUGUACUCUGCUACAAAAGUGGCUGAGUACUUCCGAUGCUUUUACAAUGGCUUUAAUGAAGAUGCAACCGUCUGGUUUCCUUAUCAGCGAGAUGACUCAAUCUUCGAACUCCCAACUUGCUUCGACUCGACCACUGGCCGAUUCGAUGAAGAACUCAUCGAUGAAUUAAUCAAGCUAGGAAUCCUGCCAGCCAACUUCUUUUCGGGGAAAGAUGCCCCUACAUAUGAGUUCUACAAUCCAUCUGCUGCAGCACGCCAACUCGGCAUGAGUCAGCUGCCGAUUCAAGUAUAUUUUGCUAGCCGAGCCAAGUUCAGAGAUGGGCUCACAACAGGUCUGGACUACAAUCGGCUACGAGAUCGGAUCCCAGACUCCACCACCAUUGACUUGAACAAUUGGAUAGUGGCUCCCUUCGCCGUCCAGCCAUUUAAGCUUUGGUGGGCCGAAUGGAAACAAUUCCUUUUCUGCAACUCCGCAUCGGCAUACUGCAAUCUCCUGGACCCAACCAACAUCGACCCAAAUGCCGAGGUAUUUUUCCUUAGCCGAUUUUUUAUUCUUUUGUCAACGCGGCUGAACACUAACGUUUUGCUAUUGUUUCAGUCUGAGAACCGUGUCCCCGCCAUGCACAGUCGGAGUGGUCGGCUAAUAGAGGAUCACCAUCCGUACACCACCUUCCCUCUCAUCGGCUAUGAUGCUCCGUCCGUGGACAUGAUUGCUGGCCGAUCGAAGCAAGCACAGAAGAAAGUCACCAAGAAGACCAGCCGCCGAGUCCGGGCCCAUAUAGAAUCGGCGGAUCCUCCCAUGCUCGUAUCGGCAGAGACUUCGGCCGCACCACCCCCUCAAGCUACCAGAGAGAUCGACACUCAAGUCGUUGCACAAGCUAGGGCAGCCGCCGCGUCACUGUUGUUAGAGGCCGUGCAGGUAAACUUAUGUUUUAACCCUUCCGAUUGUCGUUUCGAUAUUAAUCCUUCUUAUCUUAGACUGCACAGACUACCCCAUGGACACACAACAAUCAGCAGCAACCCAAUCGGCCAUCGACGCACCCCCGCUUCCAUCCAUUGAGGUAUAACACAAUUUCACCGAUUCCCCUAGUAUUUGAAUAAUAUGCUUACUCAACCUUCUGACACAGGUCAUCGGCACGCCAAGCGCUCCUCAACCACUGGUCCCCUCUCGGGAAGCUGGUCCAAGCACAGCGCCAAUCAUCGUGGAGCCUUCCUCUUCUGAUGAACCCAUGGCACCAGCCCCUGAGCUGAGGAUGACAGCUUCCCAAAUGCAGCUUGAGGAGAUUCGAUUCAAAGAGGUAAGAAAUCUUUCAACUUUAUUUAGCCGAUUUGCUAUCACCAUCAGCCGAUUUAUUUUCUUCUUUACUAUUUCCAGGAACAGGACACCCCUGACAACAGCCUCUUCUCUUUUGCGGUCGCCCUCUCUGACGACGAAGAAGUCGCCUCCUGCCAGAUCACCUUGAGCUCCAUCCCCGACGACGUCCGAGCCAAGCUUACCAACAUCCGAUCCCUUCUUCAAGGAGACAUCGGCCGAUUGGUAGAAGAUGCCUCGCCGAUUCGGCAGCUCUUUGGUGACGUCAGCGGACGAGUACCAGAAGAAGCGGAGGAAGCCUUGGCGCCGGCUGCAUACAUCGAGUCGAUGAGGAUCCCGGUUUUCAGAGCCCUUCGUCACAUGGCCGAUCGCGCCAAGUUGGCCAAGACUCGCGAAGAAGAGGAUGCGUAUAAAUGUCAGGCCCAAGAGGUACACCAACGCAUUCACUUUCUGGAGGACUCCCGCCCAGGGAUCGUCGGCGAGAUAGACCGCCUCAAACGCCAAAGGGCAGAGCUCGCCAAGGAGAUGGAGCAGGUGACCAAGGCAAUAAGUGCUGAAGAGAAAAGACUCCAAGAGCUCCCCUCUGUCAUCGCCGAUCUAAAACAGGAGAGGCAGCAUUUGGCCCAUGAAGCCCUGAAGCUCCACCGUAGCGCGUCAGAAGUCCCUGGAUUGGCGGAUGAUGACCAACGGGUCUUGGACUCUGCCGAUCAGAUCCGGCGUCGAGCGAUUGCGGCUAUCGAUGCCCUUCUGGGUAAUCUGUAAAAGCACUGACUAUUUGUACGAACCUUUAAUGGCUGCUUUGAGCGUCCCUCGUGACGUCUCUUUUAUUUAUUACCUUUCCUACUUCCGACGGGACGCACCUUUACGCCUCGUUUUCUUAUAAAUGCCGGCCUAGACCCUCCUUCCGAGAGUACCAGUUUGGCUCGGCUUUGUUUUCUCAACCUGCUCUCGUCGGCGCGACCUUCGGCUAUGUCUUCAUCAUCUUCUUCUUCCUCUGUCAACCAGGUGAAAAUCUAGCCUUGAUCCUUCUUUUCUUAUUUAACUCUUUUGAAGGGUCUCCUUUUUAAUUGUCCUUUUCUUCAGCCACGGCGUCUUAGUCCCGAACUUGAACGCGCCAUCGAGCUCCUGCACUCUGAUGAACCACUGUUGUCAGAAGACAAGGAUUUAAUCAGGGCUCAUCGUGACGAACUUCAAGAACAUGUCCCUGCUGACAUCCGUCAGAUCUGGGACUUCUUGGAUGGCAACGCCCGCCGGCGACCUCAAGCCGACCGAAGUCAUCCGCUUCCUCGACGAGUCGCCCUUGAAGAUGCGGCGGCAGGAACUUCGCGCCCGGCCAUGGAUCGGAGCCACCCUCUCCCUCAUCAAGUCGAAGCGGAGGCUUCGAUGAAAGAGACAGAAGAAGAGUACAUUCGUCGUAUGAUAGAGUUAGGUCGGGCUGAGAGAGAGCGUAAGAAAAAGAAUGGUGAGGCUUCAAUGAAAGAGAUGGACGAAGAGUACAUUCGUCUCAUGAUAGAAUUAGGUCGGGCUGAGAGAGGGCGUAAGAAGAAGAAUGAUUAAUUAUUAUUUUUUGUUCUAAGGGCGACUUGUACCUUGUCGGCCGUGUAACCCACCGUCCGUACCGAAUGAAUACAUCGGCCGAUUUGGACGAUUACAUGUUUUUCUAGACGAACCGUUUCGUAUCGGCUGGGUACCAUUGUUUUGUGGUCAAUCCUUUAUGCUCCGACCCAUAUACUAGGGUAGUAUCUUUUCAGGUAUCUUCCGUUCAGAGCCCUAGUGAACUCUUCUCCCUCGAUGGUUUCCAAAAUAUAAGCAUUUCCUGGAGCGCAUUUGCCGAUUUUAUACGGCCCUUCCCAUGUAGGGGACCAUUUUCCGAAUUUAGGAUCUUUCGACCCAAUCGGCAACACUAACUUCCAAACCAGGUCCCCAGGGGAGAAUUGUUUGACUUUGACCUUCUUAUCGUACCACCUGGCUACUUUCUUCUUGUUUUCCUCAAUGCUUAUCAAAGCUCUCAACCGCUGGCCAGCCAAGUCAUCGAGUUCCCUCUUCAUGAGUGAUGAGUAGUCAUCGGCCGUUAACUGGUCCUGGAGCGAAAUGCGCCUCGAUCCCGCUCUUGAUUCCCACGGUAGUACUGCAUCGUGACCGUACACCAACUGAUAAGGGGAUAACUUGGUGGCUCCAUGGCAAGCCAUCCUGUAUGCCCAUAGGGCUUCAAUUAGACAUAGAUGCCAUUUUUUCGGCUCCUCCUCUAUCUUCCUUUUGAUUAACUUAAUUAUCCCUUUGUUGGAGGAUUCGGUCUGGCCAUUAGCUUGAGCGUAAUAUGGAGAGGAGUUCAACAAUUUGAUCCCCAUAUCGGCUGUGAAUUCUUCGAAUUCCCCUGAUGUGAACAUAGUUCCCUGAUCAGUUGUAAUAGUCUGGGGAAUGCCGAAUCGGUAGAUGAUAUGGUCCCUUACGAAGUCGGCCAUGGUAGCCGAUGUCACGGCUCUUAACGGAAUUGCUUCCACCCAUUUGGUAAAGUAAUCGGUAGCCACCAGAAUAAAUUUGUGCCCUUUGCUUGAUGGAGGGUAAAUUUGGCCGAUAAGGUCUAUUCCCCAUCCCCUGAACGGCCAUGGCUUGAUAAUGGGAUUCAUGGCCGAUGCGGGUGCACGUUGGACAUUCCUGAAUUUCUGACAAUCCUGGCAUCCCUUAUAAUAUUUGAAGCAGUCUUCGAGGAUCGUUGGCCAGUAAUACCCAUUGUUCCUGAUCAUCCAUUUCAUCUUAUGGGCCGAUUGGUGGGCUCCACAUACCCCUUUAUGGAUUUCUCCCAUCAGAGUCUUAGCCUCCUCUGUUCCUAGACAUUUGAGUAGGACGCCGUCAAUUGUUCGGUAGAACAAGUCAUCUUCAAGCAGUACGUAUUUAGUAGCAUGGAAACGCACUCGUCGAUCCACUUUCUUAGAUGGAUCUUUCAAGUAGUCGGCAAUUUCUUUUCGCCAGUCAUCGGCCGCAAGUUCCAAAGCCAUAGCGCCUAGAAUUGGCCGAUAUCCAGAUGCGUGCUGGGCGAGUUUGUUGGCAUCCUCGUUGUGAUCUCUUGGGAUGUGCUCGAUUACUGCCGAUUUAAAUUCUUUCAAGAGCUGCAGGCAAUCUUCGUAAUAAAUUCUCAAUACAUCGUCCUUGCAUUCGGACCUCCCUGUCAAUUGAUCCACAAUAAGAAUGGAAUCUCCGAAGAUUUCAACAGAAUCAGCCCUGACUUCUCUUAGUAGUUUCAAUCCCUUCAAUACAGCCCGGUACUCUGCUUGAUUGUUAGUGGCGGUGGCUUCUAUCGGCAGAGAGAAAUCAUAACUUGCCCCCCGAGGCGAUAUGAGGACGAUGCCGAUUCCUGAUCCAGCCCCACAUGAUGAUCCAUCGAAGUAUAAAGUCCAAGGUACCGGCUCCACGAAGGUAGUUUCUGGUCCGCAGUGUUGGGCGACGAAAUCGGCCAUGACUUGACCUUUGACGGCUUUCGCCGAUUCAUGCCGAAGGUCGAAUUUUGACAAAGCUAAGAUCCAUUUGCCGAUUCGUCCUUUCAAGAUCGGCAGUGACAGCAUGUAUUUUACUACGUCGUCUUUGCAUACGACCACGCAUUCCGCCGACAAUAAAUAGUGCCUGAGCUUGGUGCAUGAAAAGUAAAGACAUAGGCACAAUCGCUCCACUGGAGGAUACCUUGUUUCAGCGUCCAGAAGUCUUCUACUGACAUAAUAAACUACUCGUUCCUUUCCUUCGGACUCCUGGACUAGAGCCGACCCAAUAGCCUUUUCAUCGGCUGAUAAAUAUAAUUUAAAUGGCUUACCAGUUUGAGGAGGGACCAAUACUGGUGGUGAGACCAAGUACUGUUUGAUAUCUUCCAGUGCCUUGCAUUGUUCUUCCCCCCAUAUAAACUCUUGGUCGGGCUUCAACUGUAAUAAUGGUGUGAAGACUUGGAUUCACCCAGACAGAUUAGAUAUGAAUCUUCUAAUGAAAUUCACCUUGCCGAUUAAAGACUGCAAUUCAGUUUUAUUCUGCGGGGCUACGACUUUGUUGAUAGCCGUUAUGGUCUUCCGAUUGACCUCUAUUCCCCGCUCAUGCACCAUGAAUCCUAAGAACUGUCCGGCGGACACGCCGAAGGCACAUUUAUUCGGGUUCAUCUUCAGCCCAUGUUUCUUAGUGCAUUCCAGCACUUCUCGCAAAUCGGCCAGAUGUUCUUCGUGUCCUUUGGACUUGACUACGACGUCGUCGAUGUAGAUUUCUACCAGUAUGCCGAUGAGUUUGUGAAAUAUGUAGUUCAUGGCUCUCUGAUACGUGGCGCUGGCGUUUUUUAAGCCAAAAGUCAUUACCACCCACUCGAACAAACCAAGGUGGCCUGGGCAUCUGAAGGCCGUUUUGGGUAUGUCUUCUUCGGCCAUAAGUAUUUGAUUGUACCCAGCAUUUCCAUCCAUGAAGCUAAUAAUCUUGUGUCCCGCGGCAACGUCUAUCAGCACAUCGGCCGUUGGCAUGGGGUAUCCAUCCAUCGGUGUGGCCUGAUUAAGAUUCCUGAAAUCAACGCACAUGCGUAACUUUCCGUUCUUCUUGUAUACUGGUACAAUGUUGGAGAUCCACUCGGCAUAACGGCAUUGCCGAAUAAAUUUUGCUUCGAUUAGCCGAGUUAUUUCGACUUUUAUGUCUGGUAGGAUUUUAGGAUUGCACCGCCGUGCAGGCUGUUGAUAUGGCCGAUAUCCUGGUUUUAUGGGUAGCCGAUGUUCAACAAUAGAUCGAUCUAAUCCGGGCAUCUCAUGAUACUCCCAAGCAAAACAAUCCUUAAAUUCUCUUAACAACCUUGUCAGUUUACAUUUGUAUUCUGGGUCUAGAUUUGCACUAAUAUAAGUCGGCCUUGGUUUGGUGCCAUCGCCUAAGUCUAUCAUCUCUAAUGAAUCGGCCGACGUGAACCCGUGCCCUAGCUUCCCAUCUUCUCAGGUGAUUUGUUCCAUUUAAUCUGAGUCUUCGGAGCCGACUGCUCGGAUCGGCUGUAGGCCAAAAUCGGAUACCUUCAAGAAGUCAGUAUCCCAUACUUUACCGGAUAUGCACUUGACGGUUUCGCACCUCCACUGCUGCGUGUCGGCUGCCGCGAUGCUGUAUGCGGAGUCAGUGUUGACCACCUUGAUGUUGUCGCCGACCCAUUGUACAAGACAUUGAUGCAUCGUCGAUGGGAUGCAGCAAUUUGCGUGUAUCCAGUCUCGACCGAGUAGCAUGUUGUAGGAUCCCUUGCCAUUAAUAAUAAAGAAGGUAGUGGGAAGGGUCUUACUGCCGAUGGUGAGGUCGACGCAAAGGGCGCCACGAGCGGGGGAUACGUUGCCCUCAAAGUCCUUGAGCAUCAUGUCUGUCUUGGUCAAGUCAUCAUCACUUUUCCCAAGCUUCCGGAGCACGGCAUAUGGCAUGAUGUUGACUGCAGCUCCUCCGUCCCACCGGGCGUGCCAAAAGUGUGUUGGCGCUAGAAAUCGGUCAACCGAAUCCCCAGCGUCUGACACACGACCCGGGAGAAUCUGCUUAGCUCCUGUUCGGGUGAUCGCCCUGGUGCGGUUCGUGCGGCGUGCCAGCCAAUCUGACCUGUUGAUUGGCAAGGAAAUAGUCAUGUUAAUUCCCAGGGUUUGCGAUCGGCUAAGGUUCCGAUCUCAAGAAAGCUUAUCAGUGAAUCGGCCGAUUUGCAGUAAUAAAGGAAUCGGCUAUGAUGCAACCGAUUACUGUAGCAGCGUAAACAAAAACUACGGGAGUAGUUAACACAACACUACAGUAACAACACUAGGAAUAGAUCUGAUCGGCUAUGUAUGAAAUAGGUAGAUUAAACAACAAAGUAUAAAGAAAGCCGAUGUUGUCGAUUCCUAGCUGGAUAACUGAUGAUAAAACUAGAAUACAAGGUAAAACCUAUAAUUCUAGUAAAUAUCGAUAACUGGUGAAUAAAUUUAAACAAAACGACAGCGAUGCGCCCGAAGUUAAAGCCUAGAAUUUACUCGAUAAACGGAACUUACAAGAUCGGCCGGAGGUCAAGUUGAUGCAGCCUCGCCAACCCGUAUGAACUCGUGAAAAAGAAGAAAAGUAUUGGCGAAGUCGCCUGUUUGAAAGUAAGUACGAAGAAAUAGUAGUUUGUUGUAUUGAGUAGUUGAUUGAUUACAGAUCUACAAAGAUAGCUAUUUAUAGCCCCGUACAGAUGACUCCUUAUCUGACUAGAACUCUAUCCCUAAUUCAAAUAGAAAACGAAUAUUUACGAGUACGAUUCGUACUAGGUUGGUUAUUAUACGCUUCACGGGCUGAUCUCCCCUUCAUCCUUCUAUUCCUUUCCAAGCCCAUACCGGCCCAAUUAUUCCAACCUCCCAAUCGGCCGAUUCCUCAUCGGCAAAGGGUAACCGAUCGGGAACCUGGCGUGUCCGAUCCGAACCCCAAGGGUUAAGCGAAGCAGAAGUCAUCGGCCGAUCCCGUACUGUAGCAUUGGCCGAUCUUGGACUGUAGCGCCAACCAACCGAUCUCAAACUGUAGCGCCAUUCGGCCGAUUUCCACCUGUACUUUCCCAUUUCCUCUUCUCUUGGUGCCGAUUUCACUUGUGACGAAAUCUGGCGUCAACACAUGCCCUCCAGUUUCGGAAUAAAACAUAGUCUUUUACUUCGAAAUUCUUUUCAACUUCCCCUCCAAAACAGCUGCAAUGAAAAUAUGCUUCCGUUUCGCAGUCCUCCAGCUGAUGAUUGCAACUUUUCGAAACGGGCGCCCACAACAACCACUACUCCCGAAAAAGCUCGAAACGCCGGCGCGGUAAAAAUUCCAUUUUUACCCUUCAUCAGGCGCCCUUUAAAUAGCAAUUCACCACGCACCUCCCUUUCGAGCUCACGUCCUUCUUCCUCAGCGCGCGCGCCUUCUUCUUCCCUCAGCACUUUCCCUUAGCUCCGAAGCUUCCUAGCACCAUCUUCCUGUUGCUUCUCCUCCUCCCCUCCAAUGGCGGCACCUUCAGGCAACUCUCCCGCGUGCAAUGCUCCAGAAAUGGCACCCCCGACGGAAGUGGCGACAGCGGUUGCUCCGUCGUCAGAAGAAGGAUCUUCAUCGGAGAUCCCAAUGGUGAUCCCCAUAGCGGCCUCAUCCUCCACAGCUGCACCGGCGGUCACGUCGACUACAAGGAAUUUCAUCCCAGAGGUUAUUACCGAAUCCUUCCUCUAUCGGCAAUGCAUUUACUUUAGAUCUAUUUCUUACUUUUGCACCCCCCCUUUCCUUUUUAGGCGGUUAGACAUCGCAUCACCAUCCAUCUUACAGGAAAUCCCGGCCUUAUCUGUCUCGGACCCAUGGGGAACCCAGAUCCAAUCGAGCUCAUCAAUUUAGAAACCCACAGAAUCCCCUUCAAACAAUCCACCAUGGACCUGGAUCACUGGUUGGGCACCUUUAGGUCUUGGCCGAAUGAAACCCCUGGUUGGAGGGAAUGGUACCAACGGAUAGCCGAACCGAAGAGGGUCCAAUGGGACGAGCUCAAAAUCGGCCAAUGCAUCAACCUGUCUUUGUCCCAGAUGGAGCGAAAUGAACCAUUGGUGAUAGCAGCCUCUUACUUUUGGUCUGAUGCCCUCAAUGCAUUCUUGUUUGGACAUGGACCUAUGACCCCCACACUGGCCGAUGUGGUUCUGCUGACCGGCCUUGACAUCUCCUCCCCGGACACACCUUUCCGCCUCUUAGCCGCAACGUCGCAUCGGCUGGACACGAGAGGAAUCAGCGGGUGGAAAGGAUUUAUCAGAUGCAACAAAAGGGCCGGGUCUGUUGAGAACAGGGAGCACACGGCCUUCUUAAUGAUGUGGUUGGAAAAACAUUUCUUUUGCGGAAGAGCAGCCGGCCCAUCAACCAACACCCAGGCUUUAGCCGAAGCACUAUCGGCACGAACCCCUGUUCCCCUUGGAAAACACUUGCUAGGGGCGACCUACCACAUGCUCCACCAAAUCGGCACCAAACUUUCAAAGGGGGAGCCGAUUGGAAAUCCAGGCGGACCCUGGUGGUUCAUCAAUUUGUGGCUGAACCUUUAUAUGAGCAAGAUCUCUCAGCAGAGGGUGGAACACAUGAUGUUCCCCAACAUUGAAUCGGCAGAAGAUCCUACUGCUCGUCUCCGAUGCACAUCUUUUGGUGAAGCGGCGUCAGCCUUCCCGGGUUGCUUGUACUCUGCUACAAAAGUGGCUGAGUACUUCCGAUGCUUUUACAACGGCUUUAAUGAAGAUGCAACCGUCUGGUUUCCUUAUCAGCGAGAUGACCCAAUCUUCGAACUCCCAACUUGCUUUGACUCGACCACUGGCCGAUUCGACGAAGAACUCAUCGAUGAAUUAAUCAAGCCAGGAAUCCUGUCAGCCAACUUCUUUUCGGGGAAACAUGCCCCUACAUAUGAGUUCUACAAUCCAUCUGCUGCAGCACGCCAACUCGGCAUGGGUCAGCUGCCGAUUCAAGUAUAUUUUGCUGGCCGAGCCAAGUUCAGAGAUGGGCUCACAACAGGUCUGGACUACAAUCGGCUGCGAGAUCGGAUCCCAGACUCCACCACCAUUGACUUGAACAAUUGGAUAGUGGCUCCCUUCGCCGUCCAGCCAUUUAAGCUUUGGUGGGCCGAAUGGAAACAAUUCCUUUUCUGCAACUCCGCAUCGGCAUACUGCAAUCUCCUGGACCCAACCCACAUCGACCCAAAUGCCGAGGUAUUUUUCCUUAGCCGAUUUUUUAUUCUUUUGUCAACGCGGCUGAACACUAACGUUUUGCUAUUGUUUCAGCCUGAGAACCGUGUCCCCCUCACGCACAGUCGGAGUGGUCAGCUAAUAGAGGAUCACCAUCCGUACACCACCUUCCGUCUCAUCGGCUAUGAUGCUCCGUCCGUGGACGUGAUUGCUGGCCGAUCGAAGCAAGCACAGAAGAAAGUCACCAAGAAGACCAGCCGUCGAGUCCGGGCCCGUAUAUAAUCGGCGGAUCCUCCCAUGCUCGUAUCGGCAGAGACUUCGGCCGCACCACCCCCUCAAGCUACCAGAGAGAUCGACACUCAAGUCGUCGCACAAGCUGGGGCAGCUGCCACGUCACUGCUGUUGAGGCCGUGCAGGUAAACUUAUGUUUUAACCCUUCCGAUUGUCGUAUCGAUAUUAAUCCUUCUUAUCUUAGACUGCACAGACUACCCCCAUGGACACACAACAAUCGGCAGCAACUCAAUCGGCCAUCGACGUGCCCCCGCUUCCAUCCGUUGAGGUAUAACACAAUUUCACCGAUUCCCCUAGUAUUUGAAUAAUAUGCUUACUCAACCUUCUGACACAGGUCAUCGGCACGCCAAGCGCUCCUCAACCACUGGUCCCCUCUCGGGAAGCUGGUCCAAGCACAGUGCCAAUCAUCAUGGAGCCUUCCUCUUCUGAUGAACCCAUGGCACCAGCCCCUGAGCCGAGGAUGACGGCUUCCCAAAUGCAGCUUGAGGAGAUUCGAUUCAAAGAGGUAACAAAUCUUUCAACUUUAUUUAGCCGAUUUGCUAUCACCAUCAGCCGAUUUAUUUUCUUCUUUACUAUUUCCAGGAACAGGACAACCCUGACAACAGCCUCUUCUCUUUUGCGGUCGCCCUCUCUGACGACGAAGAAGUCGCCUCCCACCAAAUCACCUUGAGCUCCAUCCCCGACGACGUCCGAGCCAAGCUUACCAACAUCCGAUCCCUUCUUCAAGGAGACAUCGGCCGAUUGGUAGAAGAUGCCUCGCCGAUUCGGCAGCUCUUUGGUGACGUCAACGGACGAGUACCAGAAGAAGCGGAGGAAGCCUUGGCGCCGGCUGCAUACAUCGAGUCGAUGAGGAUCCUGGUUUUCAGAGCCCUUCGUCACAUGGCCGAUCGCGCCAAGUUGGCCAAGACUCGCGAAGAAGAGGAUGCGUAUAAACGUCAGGCCCAAGAGGUACACCAACGCAUUCACUUUCUGGAGGACUCCCGCCCAGGGAUCGUCGGCGAGAUAGACCGCCUCAAACGCCGAAGGGCAGAGCUCGCCAAGGAGAUGGAGCAGGUGACCAAGGCAAUAAGUGCUGAAGAGAAAAGACUCCAAGAGCUCCCCUCUGUCAUCGCCGAUCUAAAACAGGAGAGGCAGCAUUUGGCCCAUGAAGCCCUGAAGCUCCACCGUAGCGCGUCAGAAGUCCCUGGAUCGGCGGAUGAUGACCAACGGGUCUUGGACUCUGCCGAUCAGAUCCGGCGUCGAGCGAUUGCGGCUAUCGAUGCCCUUCUAGGUAAUCUGUAAAAGCACUGACUAUUUGUACGAACCUUUAAUGGCUGCUUUGACCGUCCCUCGUGACGUCUCUUUUAUUUAUUACCUUUCCUACUUCCGACGGGACGCACCUUUACGCCUCGUUUUCUUAUAAAUGCCGGCCUAGACCCUCCUUCCGAGAGUACCAGUUUGGCUCGGCUUUGUUUUCUCAACCUGCUCUCGUCGGCGCGACCUUCAACUAUGUCUUCAUCAUCUUCUUCUUCCUCUGUCAACCAAGUGAAAAUCUGGCCUUGAUCCUUCUUUUCUUAUUUAACUCUUUUGAAGGGGAUCUCCUUUUUAAUUGUCCUUUUCUUCAGCCACGGCGUCUUAGUCCCGAACUUGAACGCGCCAUCGAGCUCCUGCACUCUGAUGAACCGCUGUCGUCAGAAGACAAGGAUUUAAUCAGGGCUCAUCGUGACGAACUUCAAGAACAUGUCCCUGCUGACAUCCGUCAGAUCUAGGACUUCCUGGACGGCAACGCCCGCCGGCGACCUCAAGCCGACCGAAGUCAUCCGCUUCCUCCACGAGUCGCCCUUGAAGAUGCGGCGGCAGCAACUUCGCGCCCGGGCAUGGAUCGGAGCCACCCUCUCCCUCAUCAAGUCGAAGCGGAGGCUUCAAUGAAAGAGACAGAAGAAGAGUACAUUCGUCGUAUGAUAGAGUUAGGUCGGGCUGAGAGAGAGCGUAAGAAAAAGAAUGGUGAGGCUUCAAUGAAAGAGAUGGACGAAGAGUACAUCCGUCUCAUGAUAGAAUUAGGUCGGGCUGAGAGAGAGUGUAAGAAGAAGAAUGAUUAAUUAUUAUUUUUUGUUCUAAGGGCGACUUGUACCUUGUCGGCCGUGUAACCCACCGUCCGUACCGAAUGAAUACAUCGGCCGAUUUGGAUGAUUACAUGUUUUUCUAGAAGAACCGUUUCGUAUCGGCUGGGUACCGUUGUUUUGUGGUCAAUCCUUUAUGCUCCGACCCAUAUACUAGGGUAGUAUCUUUUCAGGUAUCUUCCGUUCAGAGCCCUAGUGAACUCUUCUCCCUCGGAUGUUUCCAAAGUAUAAGCAUUUCCUGGAGUGCAUCUGCCGAUUUUAUACGGCCCUUCCCAUGUAGGGGACCAUUUUCCGAAUUUAGGAUCUUUCGACCCAAUCGGCAACACUAACUUCCAAACCAGGUCCCCAGGGGAGAAUUGUUUGACUUUGACCUUCUUAUCGUACCACCUGACUACUUUCUUCUUGUUUUCCUCAAUGCUUAUCAAAGCUCUCAACCGCUGGCCAGCCAAGUCAUCGAGUUCCCUCUUCAUGAGUGAUGAGUAGUCAUCGGCCGUUAACUGGUCCUGGAGCAAAAUGCGCCUCGAUCCCGCUCUUGAUUCCCAUGGUAGUACUACAUCGUGACCGUACACCAACUUAUAAGGGGAUAACUUGGUGGCUCCAUGGCAAGCCAUCCUGUAUGCCCAUAGGGCUUCAAUUAGACAUAGAUGCCAUUUUUUCGGCUGCUCCUCUAUCUUCCUUUUGAUUAACUUAAUUAUCCCUUUGUUGGAGGAUUCGGCCUGGCUGUUAGCUUGAGCGUAAUAUGGAGAGAAGUUCAACAAUUUGAUCCCCAUAUCGGCUGUGAAUUCUUCGAAUUCCCCUGAUGUGAACAUAGUUCCCUGAUCGGUUGUAAUAGUCUGGGGAAUGCCGAAUCGGUAGACGAUAUGGUCCCUUACGAAGUCGGCCAUGGUAGCCGAUGUCACGGCUCUUAAUGGAAUUGCUUCCACCCAUUUGGUAAAGUAAUCGGUAGCCACCAGAAUAAAUUUGUGCCCUUUGCUUGAUGGAGGGUAAAUUUGGCCGAUAAGGUCUAUUCCCCAUCCCCUGAACAGCCAUGGCUUGAUAAUGGGAUUCAUGGCCGAUGCGGGUGCACGUUGGACAUUCCCGAAUUUCUGACAAUCCUGGCAUCCCUUAUAAUAUUUGAAGCAGUCUUCGAGGAUCGUUGGCCAGUAAUACCCAUUGUUCCUGAUCAUCCAUUUCAUCUUAUGGGCCGAUUGGUGGCCUCCACAUACCCCUUCAUGGAUUUCUCCCAUCAGAGUCUUAGCCUCCUCUGUUCCUAGACAUUUGAGUAGGACGCCGUCAAUUGUUCGGUAGAACAAGUCGUCUUCAAGCAGUACGUAUUUAGUAGCAUGGAAACGCACUCGUCGAUCCACUUUCUUAGACGGAUCUUUCAAGUAGUCGGCAAUUUCUUUUCGCUAGUCGUCGGCCGCAAGUUCCAAAGCCAUAGCGCCUAGAAUUGGCCGAUAUCCAGAUGCGUGCUGGGCGAGUUUGUUGGCAUCCUCGUUGUGAUCUCUUGGGAUGUGCUCGAUUACUGCUGAUUUAAAUUCUUUCAAGAGCUGCAGGCAAUCUUCGUAAUAAAUUCUCAAUACAUCGUCCUUGCAUUCGGACCUCCCUGUCAAUUGAUCCACAAUAAGCAUGGAAUCUCCGAAGAUUUCAACAGAAUCGGCCCUGACUUCUCUUAGUAGUUGCAAUCCCUUCAAUACAACCCGGUACUCUGCUUGAUUGUUAGUGGCGGUGGCUUCUAUCGGCAGAGAGAAAUCAUAACUUGCCCCCCGAGGCGAUAUGAGGACGAUGCCGAUUCCUAAUCCAGCCCCACAUGAUGAUCCAUCGAAGUAUAAAGUCCAAGGUACCGGCUCCACGAAGGUAGUUUCUGGUCCGCAGUGUUGGGUGACGAAAUCGGCCAUGACUUGACCUUUGACGGCUUUCGCCGAUUCAUGCCGGAGGUCGAACUCUGACAAAGCUAAGAUCCAUUUGCCGAUUCGUCCUUUCAAGAUCGGCAGUGACAGCAUGUAUUUUACUACGUCGUCUUUGCAUACGACCACGCAUUCCGCCGACAGUAAAUAGUGCCUGAGCUUGGUGCAUGAAAAGUAAAGACAUAGGCACAAUCGCUCCACUGGAGGAUACCUUGUUUCAGCAUCCAGAAGUCUUCUACUGACAUAAUAAACUACUCGUUCCUUUCCUUCGGACUCCUGGACUAGAGCCGACCCAAUAGCCUUUUCAUCGGCUGAUAAAUAUAAUCUAAAUGGCUUACCAGUUUGAGGAGGGACCAAUACUGGUGGUGAGACCAAGUACUGUUUGAUAUCUUCCAGUGCCUUGCGUUGUUCUUCCCCCCAUAUAAACUCUUGGUCGGGCUUCAACUGUAAUAAUGGUGUGAAGACUUGGAUUCGCCCAGACAGAUUAGAUAUGAAUCUUCUAAUGAAAUUCACCUUGCCGAUUAAAGACUGCAAUUCAGUUUUAUUCUGCGGGGCUACGACUUUGUUGAUAGCCGCUAUGGUCUUCGGAUUGACCUCUAUUCCCCGCUCAUGCACCAUGAAUCCUAAGAACUGUCCGGCGGACACGCCGAAGGCACAUUUAUUCGGGUUCAUCUUCAGCCCAUGUUUCUUAGUGCAUUCCAGCACUUCUCGCAAAUCGGCCAGAUGUUCUUCGUGUCCUUUGGACUUGACUACGACGUCGUCAAUGUGGAUUUCUACCAGUAUGCCGAUGAGUUUGUGAAAUAUGUAGUUCAUGGCUCUCUGAUACGUGGCGCCGGCGUUUUUUAAGCCAAAAGUCAUUACCACCCACUCGAACAAACCAAGGUGGCCUGGGCAUCUGAAGGCCGUUUUGGGUAUGUCUUCUUCGGUCAUAAGUAUUUGAUUGUACCCAGCAUUUCCGUCCAUGAAGCUAAUAAUCUUGUGUCCCGCGGCAGCGUCUAUCAGCACAUCGGCCAUUGGCAUGGGGUAUCCGUCCAUCGGUGUGGCCUGAUUAAGAUUCCUGAAAUCAACGUACACGCGUAACUUUCCAUUCUUCUUGUAUACUGGUACAAUGUUGGAGAUCCACUCGGCAUAACGGCAUUGCCGAAUAAAUUUUGCUUCGAUUAGCCGAGUUAUUUCGGCUUUUAUGUCUGGUAGGAUUUUAGGAUUGCACCGCCGUGCAGGAUGUUGAUACGGCCGAUAUCCUGGUUUUAUGGGUAGCUGAUGUUCAACAAUAGAUCGAUCUAAUCCGGGCAUCUCAUGAUACUCCCAAGCAAAACAAUCCUUAAAUUCUCUUAACAACCUUGUCAGUUUACAUUUGUAUUCUGGGUCUAGAUUUGCACUAAUAUAAGUCGGCCUUGGUUUGGUGCCAUCGCCUAAGUCUAUCAUCUCUAAUGAAUCGGCCGACGUGAACCCGUGCCCUAGCUUCCCAUCUUCUCGGGCGAUUUGAUCCAUUUAAUCUGAGUCUUCGGAGCCGACUGCUCGGAUCGGCUGUAGGCCAAAAUCGGACACCUUCAAGAAGUCAGUAUCCCAUACUUUACCGGAUAUGCACUUGACGGUUUCGCAGCUCCACUGCUGCGUGUCGGCUGCCACGAUGCUGUAUGCGGAGUCGGCGUUGACCACCUCGAUGUUGUCGCCGACCCAUUGUACAAGACAUUGAUGCAUUGUCGAUGGGAUGCAGCAAUUUGCGUGUAUCCAGUCUCGGCCGAGUAGCAUGUUGUAGGAUCCCUUGCCAUUAAUAAUAAAGAAGGUUGUGGGAAGGGUCUUACUGCCGAUGGUGAGGUUGACGCAGAGGGCGCCGCGAGCGGGGGAUACGUUGCCCUCGAAGUCCUUGAGCAUCAUGUCUGUCUUGGUCAAGUCAUCAUCGCUUUUCCCAAGCUUCCGGAGCACGGCAUAUGGCAUGAUGUUGACUGCAGCUCCUCCGUCUACCAUUAAUCUGGUGAGGGGUCGGCCGUUGACAUGCCCUUUAAGGAACAACGCUUUCAGGUGUUGCCGUUCGUCAUCUUCGGGCUUCCCGAAUGUGGCUGUCAUUGGCUCCAAGGCCAAUUGUGCCAUCUGUUCUUCUAUCGCCGAUAUAUCCUGUUGAUCGGCAGGAGUCAUAAAUUCCAUCGGCAGUAUGAAAACCAUGCCGAUGUCGGCUGCCGAUUCAUCGCCUGCCAAUUCGUUGCCUCCUCUGUCGUUUCUUUUGGGGCGCCAAACCUGAGACCUGCCUUCCCUCUUGUCCGUCGUGCACCGUUGUUCUUCCUCCUACUGUUCCCACUGGAGGAGACGUUGGAUCCUUCGUUUUUGAGAUUUGGUUAACCCGUCGGGACACCACCUGGGGUUUACUGGUUUGGUUCUUGGCCUGGCGCGUUCCCAUUCCGGCUCGCGUCCCAAAUGGUUUUCGUCUGAUACUCGAGCAUCGGCCACCUCUUCAAGCUGACUGUGAAUGCUGGCCCUGUUUUCCGACCGGUCAUGUCGAUCAAAACGCUUGCCUUCCGACCGGUCAUAUCGGUCACUUCUGCCCCCCAGCCGAUCACGCACGGGAGGGCGCCGGUCGUCUUGGUUGAGCUAGUUCCUGUUGAUCGGCUCUGGUCUCCUGUCUCUGGAGCGAGACCUAUUGAACGGCCGAUUGUUACAAUAUGGGCCGUUGCACUCUGGGCAGUUAUCGGCCGACGGUAACCUGAGGUUGCUUUCCCAACAGUGGAUGAAGAACGGGCAUCUCCAGUGAUCUUCAUGUCGCCGCAUCGCUUCUUUCCGGGAUCUUGAGCGCUCAUGUUGCCGCUGAUAUUUGUGGAGCAGGUAUUGGGAAGUGAUGCGUGGCUCACCUGAUCCGCCAUCGUCGUCUUCCAUCCGCCGCUUCCCCUUGAUGUCUUCAGGCACCGCUUGAUUUCUGGGAUCUAUGGCACCACUCUUUUUAGCCGAUUCGGACGUUAGCACCCUUGUUUGGAGCGGAUUUUUUCCCGUGUCAACCAUGUUGGUGGGGAAGGGGUGCUGGUCGAUCUUCAUUGGCUUGGCUGGUUUUGUUGAUACUUCAAAUUUAAGUCUGCCCUGCUCAAUAGCCGUUUGUAUCUGUUGCCGGAAGAUUUUGCACUCGUUAGUGUCAUGGGAUGUAGCGUUGUGCCAUUUGCAAUAUUUCAUCUUCUUCAGCUGUUCGGCAGAAGGUAUUGUAUGGUAUGGUGAGAGCUGAAUUUGUCCUUCCUGGAGUAGGAGGUCGAAGAUUUUAUCGGCCUUCGACGUGUCAAAGCCGAACGUUUCUGGCUCCUUCUUGCCGAACGGGCAUGAUAUCGACUUCUUUCCCUUAACCCAUUCCGCAAGACCGACCUCUGCAUCUUCCUCGGCUUCAACCUCUUCUAGGAAUGCCACCUUCUUCUGGAAGUUCCUUCGUGGAUCAAAAGAACGUACCUCUUGACCGGACAAUCGGUGGACGAUCUGGCUCAAGCUUUCAAACUCCUGUGAGGCGUAUUUUUCCUUGAUGUGAGGCAGGAGACCUUGAAAGGCUAUAUCGGCCAGCUGCGCACCAGUUAGAGCCAGAGAAUAGCAUUUGUUCCUAAUUUCCCGAAACCUCUGCACAUAUGAGGAUAUCGGCUCGUCGCUUCUCUGCCUGAGGCUGGUUAAAUCAGACAGCUUCAUCUCGUACACCCCGGCGUAGAAGUAUUUAUGAAACUGCCUCUCCAAAUCGGCCCAUGUAAUAAUCGAGUUGGGUGGUAAUGUCGUGAACCACUGGAAGGCCGACCCAGACAAGGAUGAUGAGAAUAGCCGCACCCGUAGAGCGUCUUGCGCCGCUGCUUCUCCGCAUUGGAUGAUGAACCUGUUCACGUGUUCCACGGUUGAAGUGUCAUCCAUCCCCGAGAACUUGGUGAAGUCAGGAACUUUAUACCGAUGGGGAAACGACAGUAGGUCGUACGUAGACGGGUACGGUGUCCUGUAAGUGUAAGUCUGUACCUUCGGCUUCAAGCCGAAUUGUUCCUGAAUCACUUCUGCUAUACGUGCCGACCAGUCCGGCUGUUGCUGGUAAACUAUUGGCUGAGGGAUUGGCACGUGCUGGUAUAUCGGAGGCGGGAUGGCCUGAUGCUGAGUGAAAGUAUGUGGCAUCUGAUGUGUUAUAGCCGGUUGUGUAUUCAGGGUCGGCUGUUUGAAUGAGCCACUCGUUUCAUUGUAUAGUGCGAGUUCUGCUGCUUUGCUCAUCUCUGGUGCGAUAGGCUGGUACGGCGGCAUAGUUGGUCGAGUGGUUGCCUGGAAAGACGCCUGGAAUUGGGGACUUCCCUGACUGGCCGAUUGACCCUGAACGGCCGUAGCUGAUGGCGCCCCCCAAGACGCUGGAUUAACCGGAGGGAACUGCGCAGUGGAUAACUGAACGGGAUGUGGCUGGAGGUGUUGUGUGCCCGUAUACCCCAUAGAAAUCGAUGAUGAGGAAGCGCCUGAACCCCCAACUGGAAAUUGGAUCGGCUGAGAAGCCGAAUUCAGAUAACUCUUGUUUGGUGGAAUCGGCGGAGCAUAUGCCGGACCCUUGUACCCUUGAGAUACCCCGCUAGCCAAGGAGCUAAUGACGGCAUUGUACACUGUAUUCGCAAGCACCGAGGAUUGAUUGACGAAGGCUUGAUAAACGGACUGCUGGACCAUCUCGAACAUUUUGUCCGAGUCCUCGGUGAUUGUGAUCUGGCGGGGAGUUGGAAACGGAUUCUUUUUGAUAGUUUCCCCGCUUCUGGUGCGACUGAAGGACUGUAGGCAAGCCUUCCGGUAGUAUGCCGUCUGCCUCUCUAGUUCUUCCUUCUGAUCAUCCUGGAGAUCUGCUUCCGUCACUCCGAUGACGUUCUCUUCGGAGACUUCAGCAGCUUUCGACAUGGUGGCAGUUGUGUGGGUCCCACCGAGCGUGCCAAAAGUGUGUUGGCGCUAGAAAUCGGUCAAUCGAAUCUCCAACGUCUGACACACGACCCGGGAGAAUCUGCUUAGCUCCUGUUUGGGUGAUCGCCCUGGUGCGGUUCGCGCGGCGUGCCAGCCAAUCUGACCUGUUGAUUGGCAAGGAAAUAGUCGUGUUAAUUCCCAGGGUUUGCGAUCGGCUAAGGUUCCGAUCUCAAGAAAGCUUAUCAGCGAAUCGGCCGAUUUGCAGUAAUAAAGGAAUCGGCUAUGAUGCAACCGAUUACUGUAGCAGCGUAAACGGAAACUACGGGAGUAGUUAACACAACACUACAGUAACAACACCAGGAAUAGAUCUGAUCGGCUAUGUAUGAAAUAGGUAGAUUAAACAGCGAAGUAUAAAGAAAGCCGAUGUUGCCGAUUCCUAGCUGGAUAACUGAUGAUAAAACUAGAAUACAAGGUAAAACCUAUAAUUCUAGUAAAUAUUGAUAACUGGUGAAUAAAUUUAAACGAAACGACAUCGAUGCGCCCGAAGUUAAAGCCUAGAAUUUACUCGAUAAACGGAACUUACAAGAUCGGCCGGAGGUCAAGUUGAUGCAGCCCCGCCAACCUGUAUGAACUCGUGAAAAAGAAGAAAAGUAUUGGUGAAGUCGCCUGCUUGAAAGUAAGUACGAAGAAAUAGUAGUUUGUUGUAUUGAGUAGUUGAUUGAUUACAGAUCUACAAAGAUAGCUAUUUAUAGCCCCGUACAGAUGACUCCUUAUCUGACUAGAACUCUAUCCCUAAUUCAAAUAGAAAACGAAUAUUUACGAGUACGAUUCGUACUAGGUUGGUUAUUAUAUGCUUCACGGGCUGAUCUCCCCUUCAUCCUUCUAUUCCUUUCCAAGCCCAUACCGGCCCAAUUAUUCCAACCUCCCAAUCGACCGAUUCCUCAUUGGCAAAGGGUAACCGAUAAGGAACCUGGCGUGUCCGAUCCGAACCCCAAGGGUUAAGCGAAGCAGAAGUCAUCGGCUGAUCUUGGACUAUAGCGCCAACCAACCAAUCUCGAACUGUAGCGCCAUUCGGCCAAUUUCCACCUGUACUUUCCCAUUUCCUCUUCUCCUGGCGCCGAUUUCACUUGUGACGAAAUCUGGCGUCAACACCUUCAUACUCCGAAACUAGGGGGUCUAUGUUAACACCAAAAUUUAGAAAUGUGCUCUGAAAGGAAGGUAUCGGUCGAUGAUGCAAAAAAAUAAUGAAAUCUCCUAAAUAAGGCUCAAGAAAGAAAAAGCAAGAAAAGGAAAUCAACGCACGCGGCAAGAAUUGAAUAAAAUAUUCUGGAGAUAGAGUUGGUUAGGAUAAGCUUGAUUAGAGAUAGAGUUGGAUUAGUUAGAGAUAGUAUUUUGAUUAGAAAAGAUUGUGUACAUGACUUGCCUUGUACGUGGUGCGUCAGAGGCCAUCCGCCCUAUAAAUAUAAGGGGUCAUGGCCAUUGUAAUUAUCAUCACACGAUCAAUAUACAACAUAUUUAUCUUUUACCUUUUCGGCUUCACGCCAUUGCAUUAGGAGUAGGAGUAAUGUAGCUUCUCGACGAGUUCCUUCUAGCAAGCUGGGCUGCAUCGACCUUGAUCUCCGGCGAGCUGCAAAGUUUUGUCACCUGGUGUUCUAGGCUUUAACCACCGGGCGCAUCGCUGUGGUUUCGUCUAGUUUCAUCUACUAGGUAUCGAAUAUCAUGGAUCUUUGACUUACGCAUCGCUUCUGUCUUGAUCUACGGUAUUCACCAGUUAUCCUGCCUUGAUUAAGUCUGCAUCGGCUGAUAUUUAUCUGUUCUAUCAUCUUGCCGUUCAGUUUGCUUUAAUUAGCUUUAGAUCAGUUCAUUAUAGAUGACAGAUCGCUUAAUAGCCUGUUGCAUCUUAAUCUUGGUUACCCCUUCAAGUGCUGUUGGGAUUAAGUUUCGUUAUGAUUGGAUUCAUCGGCUGGUGGGGUUCAGAUUAACAUCCUGCUAAAUAUUUCUAGACUGCAACUACUGGACGCAUCGCUGUGGUUUCAUCUAGAGAUAUUGGUAGAGAGUUUAGUUUAGAUCUCAUCGGUUCGUGGCUCUAGCUAUGGUGGAGCGGCAGCUGAAUAGCAUCCUGUUUUCUAUCGGUCGCCUGGCCGAUGGUUAUUGCAAAAUAUAUUAAAUCGGCUGCUCACGCUCGUCAAGGAUCAUAUCGGCCUGAUCGGCCAGUUACCUCGGACUUCAAAGGAUUAUUUUCACCUUGUCAGUUGAAUGGUCAAACUGGCUGGAGUUAAGUAGAUCUCCCAGGUCCUCAUGUGGUGACGAAGGAUCCACCACCGUCAGAAUUUUACGUCAACAGAUUUUAGCACGCCCAGUGGGACACGGUUAUAAGGUUCAUAUUUUUAUUCAUAUAAAAAAGCAUCUUCGGCAGCUGUAUCAAAUUCAUCGGCCAAAUGAGUGUUCAUCGGCUUGUUAGAAUUAAUUCAAUAUAAUAUUUCAGCAAAAGCAGCCGAUGUAGUGAUUGGAGAUAAGGCCAAGUCAAGUCUGCGUGUAUACGCAUGUUCCGGUGGGAUCAUCUUCAUAAAUGCCAAUGACGAUUAGAGAUGAAGCUUCCUGCAAAAUGAUUGGCUACUCUAUCCGGGAAGAAUUGCUUUUUUAUGAGGCAUAUAUAGAGACCCAUGUUGCAAUUAGGGGGCGUAUUCGUGCAUCGGAAGAAAUAAAAAAUACAUCGGCAUAUUGAAAAUUGCAUCGGCCGAUUGACAGUCGUAUCAGCUGAUUGGAAAAAUAAAAAGGGAUCAGGGAUCGGCCGAUUGGAAAUUGCAUCAGCUGAUGGAAAAUGAGAUCAGCCGAUUGGAGUUGUAUCGGCUGAUUAAGAAAAAAACAGCGGCCGAUCGUAGAGAAAGGCAUCGGCCAAUUAGCAUCAGUAAGUUGGAAUUAAAAAAAAGAAGAGAGAGAAAGGCAUCCGCGGAUUAGCAUCGGCCCAUUGGAAAUAAAAAAAAAGAAGAGAAGAAGACCAGCCGAUAGGAGAUCACAGCCGAUGGGCAAGAAAGAAAUAAAAAAAAAGAGAAGAAGACCGGCCGAUAGAAACUUCAGCUGAUGGGCAAAGGGAUAUAUGAAAGAAGAAAUAAAAAAGUUACGUCGUCCGAUUAAAAAUUGCAUCAGCCCAUAAUGCUAUUUCUUAUAUUUCAGCCGAUGGAGCUCUUGUCUCAGCCCAUAAUGCUAUUUCAUAUAUUUCAGUCGUAGUUUUUUGUCUCAGCCGAUGGCGUUGCUUGCUAUAUUUUGGCCGAUGGAGUAAGAGGAACAGUUACAAUAUUUUUUUUAAAAGAAAGCAAGUAUCGGCAAGCAGUAGCCGAUGGAUUUGUAUUUCAGCCAAUGAGGUUUUUGUUUCAGCUGAUAGUACUGCUGGCUGAUGGCAAGUCCGAUGGAGUUAAAAUUGCAUCGACUGAUUGAAAUAAAAAUUAAGUAUCCGCUAAUUUAUGGCCAAGUAGCAUCUGCUGAUUUGUUGCAAAGUAGUUUCGGCUGAUUUAUGGCAAAAUAGAAUCGGCCGAUUUAUUGCUUAAAAUUAAGUAUCGGCUGAUUUAUGGCAAAGUAGCAUCAGCUGAUUUGUUAAAAAGUAGUUUCGGCUGAUUUAUGGCAAAAUAGAAUCGGCCGAUUUAUGGCAAAGAAGCCAAUAGACAAAAGCAUCGGCUGGUAGAGAAGCCGAUUGAGCAAGCAUCUGUUGAUGAGCUAUGUAUGGGAAAAAGUAUUGGCUGCUUAAACAAUUGACAAAAGCCAAUUGGUCAGACUAAGAAGCCAACUGGGAAAGCAUCGAUCGAUGGAUUGCGUAUGGGAGAGAGUAUCGGAUGAAGUCUUUAGUAUUGACUGCUAGAUAUUUGAGCAAGCGUCGGCCGAUUGCCUGCUUGGUAAAAAAAACAUCGGCCGAUUGCUUGGUUAAUAAAAAAAUUGCAUCGUUCAAGCAAAGAUUGCAUCGGCUGAUUGGUUCAAGCAGAAUAGUAUCGGCUGCUUAUAGAAUAUAUCGGAUAUUAAUUUCGAAGCAUGAAAAUAUUCAUACUCCGAAACUGGAGGGCCUGUGUUGACAAUAAAAGCUUGCUGGUUACUGCACCAAGUUUUGGUGUCAACAUACUUGAUCAUUUGUUUCCAUUGCCAGCGGAUUCAUCGGCUCAGAGUGGGAUCAAGACAUUAAGCUGAUGGAGUUCUUUAUAUUUCAAGAGGAGUCAUGGAGUUCUUUAUAUUUCAAGAGGAGUCGAUGGUGCUUUGUAUAUUGCAACCAGCUGAUGGAGUUCUUUAUAUUUCAAGAGGAGUCAUGGAGUUCUUUAUAUUUCAAGAGGAGUCGAUGGUGCUUUGUAUAUUGCAACCAGACGUCAUUGGCUCUAAAGAUACCGAAUCACCGGACUUCUAUGAUCAGUUUCGGAACAUGAAGCCUUCAUACUACGAAACUGGGGGCCUAUGUUGACACCGAAUCAUCGGACUUCUAUAAUUAGUUUUGGAACAUGAAGCCUUCAUACUUCAAAACUGGGGGGCCUGUGUUAACACCAAAAUUUAGAAAUGUGCUCUGAAAGGAAGGUAUCGACCGAUGAUGCAAAAAAAUAAUGAAAUCUACUAAAUAAGACUCAAGAAAGAAAAGCAAGAAAAGGAAAUCAACGCACACGGCAAGAAUUGAAUAAAAUAUUCUGGAGAUAGAGUUGGUUAGGAUAAGCUUGAUUAGAGAUAGAGUUGGAUUAGUUAGAGAUAGUAUUUUGAUUAGAAAAGAUUGUGUACAUGACUUGCCUUGUACGUGGUGCGUCAGAGGCCAUCCGCCCUAUAAAUAUAAGGGUCGUGGCCAUUGUAAUUAUCAUCACACCAUCAAUAUACAACAUAUUUAUCUUUUACCUUUUCGGCUUCACGCCAUUGCAUUAGGAGUAGGAGUAAUGUAGCUUCUCGACGAGUUCCUUCUAGCAAGCUGGGCUGCAUCGACUUCGAUCUUCGGUGAGCUGCAAGUUCCGUCACCAGGUGUUCUAGGCUUUAACCACCGGGCGCAUCGCUAUGGUUUCGUCUAGUUUCUUCUACCAGUUACCGAGUAUCUUGGAUCUUUGACUUACGGCGCAUCGCUUCUAUCUCGAUCUACGGUAUUCACCAGUUAUUCCGCCUUGAUUAAGCUUGCAUCGGCUGAUAUGUAUCUGUUCUUUCGUCUUGCCGUUCAAUUUGCUUUAGUUAGCUUUAGAUCGGUUCAUCAUAGACAAUAGAUCAUUUAAUAGCAUGUUGCAUCUUGAUCUUAGCUAUCCUUCGAGUGUUGUUGGGAGUAUGUUCCGUUGUGAUUGGAUCCAUCGGCUAGCAGGGUUUAGAUUAACGUCUUGCUAAAUAUUUCUAGACUGCAACUACCGGGCACAUUGUUGUGGUUUCACCUAGAGAUAUUGGUGGUGACGUUAGUUUAGAUCUCAUCGGCUUGUGGCUCUAGCUAUGGCAGGGCAACAACUCAACAUCAUCCUGUUUUCAAUCGACCGUCUAACUGAUAGUUAUUGUAAAUUAUAUUAAAUCGGCUGGAUGGCCGAUGAAUCACUCACAUUCAUCAAGGUACUGGAAUCGGCUUCACAGCCGAUAUAUUUGUCAUGAUUUAUUUUGUUGCACCAUUAUCGCUACUGUGCUAGGAUUAUAUCGGCCUAAUCGGCCGGUUUCCUCGGACUUCACAACGACUAUCAUCUCCUUGUCAGUUGAAUGGUCAAACUGACUGGCAUGCCCGCGCACACCACACGUGCCGAUUUGGAUUCUGCACUAGAGUUAAGCAGAUCUCCCAGGUUCUCAUGUGCUGAUGCAGGGUCCACCACCGCCAGGAUUUUGUGUCAACACCUUGUAAUCUUCCUUUGAUUUCCUCAAUGAUUCGAAGACAAUAACCUUGCUUCUAUCAAUGAUAAUUAUAAGGAGAACCUAGUGGAAACUGUGUAUUCAUAUUAGAACUACCUAUGGUUAAUUAGGUUAGGAAAGGAAAUCGAAAAUAGACCGUACCCACACUUACUUAAAGUUGUUGGGCAGUAGUAUGUAAUGCUUGUAAUUCUGUUACUCCAAGAAUUUGUAUAUGUAGUCCAAUGUAGACUUUGGUUGAUCCCAUAUUUGUUGUUGGUUAAAUAAGUGUUUCUAGCCAUUUCUAGCCGUUAGAACCGGAACUAAAGGGGGCUCUUUAGUACGGGUUGAUAUUACUAAUCGGGACUAAAGAGCCCCCAUUACAGUUGGUUUUUGGACGCGGAACUAACAACUCCUUUAGUCCCGAGUCCAAAAACGACUGAGAUAGAAGGUCCUUUAUCUACCGUGAAUAUUGCCAGAAAGAAUUGAAAGAGACCGCUUGCUAAAAAUAUGUCAUAGAUGCAGACCAAGCUACCAAGGAGGUAGACCAAACAUGAUACACACCAUGCGUACCUUGCUGUGCAGACUAUGCAUGGACAAGAUACCCGACCACAUGUUGGCCUCGAUCACAUCAAAAGAAUCAUGUAGGCCACCAAUAAACUACUUGAAGCGUCAUUCCGUAUCGUAUAUGCAUUGCCGGGUUCAUCUGCAUUACAUUACAUAAAGUAGUAUUAACUAUUUGAAUAAAAUGAAGCAAUUUAAAAGUAAUGUGUUGUACUCUACUAUAGAAAGCCCUAUCACUGUCGGAUCCAGAAACAUCAUUGUUGAUGGUUGUUAAGUACCAAGACGGUCAAUAUUCUCAAGAAUAAUGGAGAAUUGGCAUUUCUUACACACAUAUUUGGUUUUGAACAAUGUAGUUCCACAUGUCCUUGGAGAUUAUUUGGGUGUGGGUGAAAUGAUACAAAAAGAAGGAGAAAACACACUCCCAUGGCGAAGAAACACAACUCCGACCAAUGAGAGAUAGCCACAGGGGCAGCACACGGAUCCAUGGGCCCACAAUCCGCAUCAAACUGUCUUACCAAGGCGGGUAGCACCCACAACCAUGAUUAGGACCCACCUGGAUGUCUACCAAGAAGAAGGUUGUGAGUGGGGCCAGGAGGGGUUCGGCUGAAUCAUCUCUAGCUCCCCUCAUCCCCAGCUGGUGCGUGGCGGUGGUUGAUGGUGUCCCUACAUCGGUUAAAGGAGAUUCCCCCAAAUAUUCCUCUUGUAAACCACCUGUAUGGACCUAUACAUAGAGGGGUGUGCUCUCCAGUCCAACACACACCACAAGUUUAAUCACUCUCUCCCUCUUUAGUUUCCAUGUUUAUGGAGUUAGGCUAGAGUAGCUCUGCUCAAGGUUCCAAGUCCACUUGGAGUUAAGCAUAUGUCUCUUGUAUCGUUAUUUCCUAGAUUGACUUUAUGCUUAGUUCUUAUAUGCAUGAGUUAGUCUAAUAGCCUUGCUCUAUUGAUAUGCUCGGCUUAUAUGCUCAUAUGCUAGUCAUAUACCCUUGCUGCCGUAGUAUAGGCUUAUAUGCUCUCAUGUGUGCCUUUAGACCUUGCUACAGUAUAUACUUGUUGUGUAUACAUACCAUGUAUAGGCUAGUCGAUCUUUACCAUGGCAUUGGUUCAAUAGCCAUGUUUUUGGUGGCUCCAACCCUAGUCACAAUAGCUCGGGACAGCUGGAGUGUUGUUAAAAAUGCAAGAGUGAUGGUUGGGUUGUUUAGCAUCGUUGGAUAUGGGUUUUCCCCACGGGUUUCUAAGAGUAGGCGGCAGCUAGUGACAGCCCUGUCCGUCCUUCGUAAUCCCCCCCACAUUCAAGUACGCCAUAGAAAUUCAUAAAUUAGCAGUAACUACACCGGCAGACCGGCAGGAUAUUGUCUCCCUAUAGUACCUUGGUGCAUAGAACUAGGUCAUAUACACUGUGUGUCUAUGUUUACGCUGAUAUGAUCUGUGCAGUAUAUAGGAUGUAUAUAUGAACCUAGAGCUAACUCCUAGUCCAUUCUCCGUAGCUUAGUUAUCUUGAGAUGAUUCUUCUGUGUGUGUAACACUACCCAUCUUAUCAUUAUCCUUAAUCCUAUCUUGUGUAAUAUAUCUACUCAUCCUAUGAUAUACUCAUAUGCAUAGUAAACUAUUUUGACCUACCUGCCUUCUUUUGGGAAAUACGAUACCCUGGAAUAAUCCUAGGUGAAAUGCUACAACGGUAUAUCCAUGUGCUUGCGGAAUUAUUCAUGACCAUUAAAUAUACCAACAAUGAUCACUGUCGGUUUUGGGCAUCGUUAGUGAAGCGUCGGCAGUGAUGGGCAUCCCCUUCACCAAUGGAGCUGGAACCGGCGGUGAUGGCCAUUAAAAAAAAUGGGACCCCACCCAGCGUACCCUGCGACCCGGCCGGCCGCGCCUCCCAUCAUCCCCGCCGGCCGCCCUUCCUCUUUGCUGGCCGAGCAUGGUUCCGGCCCUCAUCCCUACCGCCUCGCCUCCAUCGCGACCCCCUGCCGAUGUCCUCAUGCCUGGCCCCCCUCGUCUGGCCGGCCACCCUCCCGAUGCAUCCACCGGGGCCCUCGCACCACCAACCACCCUAGCCGAGAGAGAGAGAGAGGAGGGAGGUGAGGCCACACACCUCGUCCUACAACGCCGCUGUUGCUCCUCGGCCCACCGCGCCUCACCCCACACCACAGCCACGCCUCGCCAUCUUACCGGCCGCGACGCCCCAUCUCACCGGCCACCGUUCCUCAACCCCACAUCGGUCAUUGCUGCUCCUUUCCCUACUGCUGCUCUUUGCCGCCGCGAAUGAGGGGCGAGUGGAGGGGGAGGGGCGGGGCAGGAGGAGGGCAAGAUCCGGGAGGAAGGGAGAGAUUUUGGGAGGUGGAGAUGGAAGGAUAUGGCGGAAGGUAGAGAUCCAGAGGGAGAGAGCGGGGGAGAGAGGGGGGCAUGUGGGGAGAGAGCGCAUGUGGGGUGGGGCCGGGCUGGUGGGAUGGAAGGUAGAGGGGCCGGAGGGCGCAGUGCAUUCAACUGGAUUAAGUAAAUAUUUCGGAUUCGAGACCCCAGCUUUAUUAUCACCGCUGGUCCGUAGUACCAUUCGGUGCUGGCUCAUAAUUUAAUUUGAACCGGUGGUGAUGUUUUAUUAUCACUGCUGGUUUCAAUUUUCACCAUCGGAUCAUAUAAAAAUCCGGCGGUUAAAAAUCCGCUGGUUUCGAUGAAAACCGACAGUGAUAGGACGACUGUGAUAGUCUCUUCUCUAGUAGUAGUAUAUUAGUACCGGCUGCCGGAUGGUGUUGCCGACGAGUACUUCUCCAGGGGCGAUUCAGUACUGAUGUUAGCAAAGCAUGUUCUCUAUGAAUUUGGGGGAUGGAAAGCUAGUUCUCUAGUUGUGAUUUGUUACAUAUAUCUCUAUGAUAGUCUAGAAAUUGCAUGUCCUUCGUUGACAUAGUUGAAGCUGCUUCAAGAAUUUACUUCGUGCAGUCGUGCAGCAUAUUGGAUUAUCACCUAGACAGGAUACAUAGGUGAAGCAUUGGAUGUGAUUGUGGCUGAUAAUUAUGCAGGACGCUGUUGCAAUCAACCAUCAAGAAGACUGGAGCGAUGGGGUUGCCUCAUCAACAAUUUUUAUAUAUGGCUGCAGUAUUAUUAAGCCCACGUCAAUAAUUUUUUCUCCGCAGCAUAUAUAUGGUUACUCAGUUCGCUGGAGUAUCGCUGUGGAAAAACAUACGUACUGCGCCUCGGAACUAACUGGCAUUCAGGCCAUCAACGACCAGAUAUUUGGGACAACAAACAAAUAGUAGGUGGUUCCUAAGUUGUAGUCGUAUGUACUAAUGCGCCUCGAUGGGGUUUUCUUCAGAUAUUUUAUUGCCGUUCAAUGAACAAGCAGAUACAUAACCUGUGCAGAAAAUUCCAUCUCCACGCAUGCCACUGCACCAACAAGAUCCUCAGUCGACGAUGAUGGCUCAGCCUGUUCCUUCUGCCACCAAAUCCUCAAUCUUCCCUCCAGCAACGGAGAAUGCACCUUUAGUACCUUCAGUAUCAGAUGUUGCAAUCGGUACCGUGAAACCGAGACUAAAAUCCUUACUUUGCAGGGGGCAAAACAAUCUUGCAAAUAUAUAUUUUGAAUUCCAACAAAAUUUAAGAAAUGUUAAAGAUGACUAGCUGAGAGUCAACAGACAAGAUAUGAUAUUAGGAAUGUGGGAGGAUGAAUGCAUUUGUACAGGGGUCAUACUAUUUCCAGACUCUUCUAUAUUUCCAUAUGACUACCUACUUCAAUGUCACGCGAGCCAUUCAAAAACAUACAUGGUACACUUGUAUGUCUAAUCCAUUAUUGAUUAUUUCCUCUUGUCAUCUCUUACAAGUAUUUCUCCAUACUAUAGAAACGUGCAACACAUUUUUAGGAUAUGGACACGCAUGAUUAAUAUGCUUGGACUAGUAUACAGGUCAUCUUUGGAUGAGUACAUAUGAAUGCCAGGGAGGGACUGAUGGAUAUAAGGAAAAGGGACCAUGCAUAAAUAAUGACAUAUGUCACAUGGCAAUCUUCAUUGCCAUGCAACUCCUAUCAACAAUCAUGGAAUACAUACUACUGCUCCAGAAGGGUGGUGUGCAAAUUUAUUUUACCUCGCGGUGAAAAUCUCCAGAGCAGGCCUGAAGUUAAAAUAAGAGGAGGCAGUCACUAUCGAUCAUGACAGUCUCGAAACUGUACAGCACUAUGCUAGUCCUAGUCCUCAUGUCGUUCGUGCUGUCGUGUAGCAUGAUGGAUUAUUAACUGGGCAGGACACGGAGAUGGCUAGCGAUGACAGAGGAUGACGUACAUGAUAUUCACCUCUGAAAUGAAGCGUAGGCUAAUGAAGCACAAUUGCAUGUGAGUGUGGCAGAUAUUUAUACAGGACAGUGAUUGCAAUAAUCGACCAUCGAGAUCGAAGACAGGGGCGAUGGGCUUGCCUCAUCAAUAAUUCGCGCAACCAGACAAGCUGCAGACUCAAUAUGGUACGAAGCUAGUUGGUCAGCCCACAUGCUCUGAUAUAACAUUGGCAUCUGCUGAUCUACAGUAUAUAUGACCAGAAAUAUUGUGCCACCUCAAUAAUUUUCUGAAGUAUCGUGGGGAAGAACCUACUCGUACUAUGCCUCGGAACUAACUGACAUAUCGGCCUAGGCGGUCUAGGCCGAUUGGACUGGCUCUUCCUUGUGGCUUCUCACGUCCCCUUCGUUCCUGAGUAAUCUCAGGUGUUCUGGAGUUUUCUUUUCACUUGCAUGUGGGUCUCAUAUAUCAAUAGCUUCGGGAUAAGAAUGCCUCUUGAUAACCUUCCAAAUCGUCGCUUGAUUCACUUUGAUUCCAAAAUCAUCUUGCCAUAGAGACUUAGGCCCUAAGGCAUCAUGGAGGAUUGCUCGCCAAGAAUGAGCACCAUUGGGCUCCUGAGGACCCUAGGCCGAUCAGCCUGUGCUCUAUAGGUCAAUUGGCCCAGGCCCUCUCUGAGCCCAUUGGCCUUCA